Molecule: ribosomal RNA, 260 nt
Filed under: uncultured bacterium
Lineage: Bacteria
Description: partial 16S ribosomal RNA
Rfam family: Bacterial small subunit ribosomal RNA
Source: RNAcentral
CCUACGGGACGCAGCAGUAGGGAAUCUUCGUCAAUGGGCGCAAGCCUGAACGAGCAACGCCGCGUGAAUGAAGAAGGUCUUCGGAUCGUAAAGUUCUGUUGAUAGGGAAGAAGAGCCGAGAGAGGAACUGAACUCCGUUUGAUAUUACCCAUCGAGAAAGUCACGGCUAACUACGUGCCAGCAGCCGCGGUAAUACGUAGGUGGCAAGCGUUAUCCGGAUUGAUUGGGCGUAAAGGGUGCGUAGGCGGCCUGCUCAGUCU